RNAcentral lists this transfer RNA (66 nucleotides) under Aristaeopsis edwardsiana. RNAcentral describes it as "tRNA-Pro". It matches the Rfam family "tRNA". Rfam says of the family: Transfer RNA (tRNA) molecules are approximately 80 nucleotides in length. Their secondary structure includes four short double-helical elements and three loops (D, anti-codon, and T loops). Further hydrogen bonds mediate the characteristic L-shaped molecular structure. tRNAs have two regions of fundamental functional importance: the anti-codon, which is responsible for specific mRNA codon recognition, and the 3' end, to which the tRNAs corresponding amino acid is attached (by aminoacyl-tRNA synthetases). tRNAs cope with the degeneracy of the genetic code in two manners: having more than one tRNA (with a specific anti-codon) for a particular amino acid; and 'wobble' base-pairing, i.e. permitting non-standard base-pairing at the 3rd anti-codon position. Lineage: Eukaryota; Metazoa; Arthropoda; Malacostraca; Decapoda; Aristeidae. The record is from RNAcentral.
CAGAGGGUAGUUUAAUUAAAAUACUAGUUUUGGGAACUAGUGAUAAGAGUUUACUCUUUUCUCUGA